CGUAGGUGGCGAGCGUUGUCCGGAAUUACUGGGUGUAAAGGGCGUGUAGGCGGGAAUGCAAGUCAGAUGUGAAAUGCCGAGGCUUAACCUCGGAGCUGCAUCUGAAACUGCGUUUCUUGAGUGUCGGAGAGGAAAGUGGAAUUCCCAGUGUAGCGGUGAAAUGCGUAGAUAUUGGGAGGAACACCAGUGGCGAAGGCGACUUUCUGGACGAUAACUGACGCUGAGGCGCGAAAGCGUGGGGAGCAAACAGGAUUAGAUACCCUGGUAGUCCACGCCGUAAACGAUGGAUACUAGGUGUGGGAGGUAUCGACCCCUUCCGUGCCGCAGUUAACACAAUAAGUAUCCCACCUGGGGAGUACGGCCGCAAGGUUG
RNAcentral lists this ribosomal RNA (372 nucleotides) under uncultured organism. RNAcentral's name for it is "bacterial SSU rRNA". It matches the Rfam family "Bacterial small subunit ribosomal RNA", at positions 526 to 896 of the family's 1533-position model. The record is from RNAcentral.